Molecule: long non-coding RNA, 758 nt
Organism: Brachypodium distachyon (stiff brome)
Lineage: Eukaryota; Viridiplantae; Streptophyta; Magnoliopsida; Poales; Poaceae
Product: protein CASPARIAN STRIP INTEGRITY FACTOR 1
Exons: 3
Source: RefSeq, a predicted model, not a curated record
UAUGUACUGUUCUAAUGCAGUGUUCAUAGACAUCUUUGUUCGAGGUCGGUCUGAGGAUUAGCUUGGGUGGAAGGAAGAAGAAGAAGAAAAUGAGCCCCAAAAAAGUUGACAGAGCUUCCAUUGUUGUUCUCCUGCUCAUCGUGCUUUCGGUUUGUGCCGCAGGAGGAAGGGAGCUGGCGGAACAAAAGCUACAAAAGGACUUCUACAGUGCUGCAUCCAAAGAGGGAGCAACAGUUUCGAGCAACCAUCCAAGGAACCUCAUGGUUAAGACGAACGACUACGGCCGCUACGACCCUGCUCCAGCUUUUUCCAAGCCUCGCUUCAAGCUUAUACCCAAUUGAACUGCGUCCUGGCUAGCUGCUGCUUUGCUCCUGCGCACAACAAAGAUGGUUCAGCUAAUUAACAACAUAUAUAGAAUAUAGUUAGAAGAGACUUGAGGAGUAAUGCUAUACACAUAUAUGUUUUUCUGUGAUGUAUUUCGAUCAUAGAUAUUAUAGGUAAUGUAUAAUGUACUGUAGUAAUAUUUCAAGAUAGGAGCACCAGCUCGGAGCAGCUUACUAGAAUCUGUGUAGGGCUGAACCCUGAAUGUCACUUGGGGCUUGAAUCUGCUCAUAGAGAAGGUUACAAAUAUAGUGCUGGAAUGCAACGGGGAGCAGUGGUUGUAAGGAAGAAUGGGAUAAAUAUACUUAGUUGUAUGAAUCAUCAACAUGGGUGUGUUAUAUACACACUUUACAAGCACCCUUUUGGGUGUUGAAAAA